Molecule: long non-coding RNA, 632 nt
Filed under: Populus trichocarpa (black cottonwood)
Lineage: Eukaryota; Viridiplantae; Streptophyta; Magnoliopsida; Malpighiales; Salicaceae
Description: long non-coding RNA (PTRI_LNC003770)
Source: RNAcentral
GCAAGUUCUAGUCCCAUUGCUAAUUGGAAGAUCUCUAGUCCUGGUGAGUUGAUGGUUCUUUUGGUUUUCGGUUCUUGGUUGGUUCAGAUUUAGAUUUUUCUUGUUUGAUCUGGUUUUUGGAUGUUUGAAAGCUCAAAUUCUUGAUGGUUCAAGUGAUUAAUUUGAUUUAAGAUUUUUGAGCUCUUUUCAUUCAUGUUUGUAGUUCUAAUUAUUGAAUGUGUUAGAUUUGUAAUUCAUGUAUAAAAUGAUGAAUUGGGCUCAUUGAGAUGGAACUAUUUCCUGCAUUGCUGUAGUUUUUGAAUCUGUUUCUGAUGUGAUCAUUUUGAUCUUCCCUUUUUUUUUUUUUCUACUUUUGGUUUAUGAUGCCAAUUUGAAGAUCCAUGAUCUGCUUGGCAGUGACCGCAUUUAAGAGACCCUACUUGUCAUACAUUUAGCUUUUGCCUGCUCUUAAUACAUGUACAAAACUGAGUGUCUGUACUGUACACAGAAUAAUCUGCAAAGAUGUUUGAGGGCCAGAAAUUAUGUGCUACGGUCUCAUUUGUUGUUUGUCGAAUCGAUUUGGCGAUAACCUGAAUAUGAUUCUAUUGAUCAGUCAUUUGAUUUUAACUUUAUGCUUCCAUGUUUAACCCAUA